Molecule: ribosomal RNA, 539 nt
Filed under: uncultured bacterium
Lineage: Bacteria
Description: bacterial SSU rRNA
Rfam family: Bacterial small subunit ribosomal RNA
Source: RNAcentral
AGAGUUUGAUCCUGGCUCAGAAUCAACGCUGGCGGCGUGCCUAACACAUGCAAGUCGAACGCGAAAGGGGAGCAAUCCCUGAGUAGAGUGGCGAACGGGUGAGUAACACGUGGGUGACCUACCCUCGAGUGGGGGAUAACAUCCCGAAAGGGGUGCUAAUACCGCAUGACAUCCUGUCUUUGAACAGAUGGACAUUAAAGCCGGGGAUCGCAAGACCUGGCGCUCGAGGAGGGGCUCGCGUCCGAUUAGCUAGUUGGUGGGGUAACGGCCUACCAAGGCGACGAUCGGUAGCCGGCCUGAGAGGGCGGACGGCCACACUGGGACUGAGACACGGCCCAGACUCCUACGGGAGGCAGCAGUGGGGAAUUGUUCGCAAUGGGCGCAAGCCUGACGACGCAACGCCGCGUGGAGGACGAAGAUCUUCGGGUCGUAAACUCCUUUCGAUCGGGACGAAUGACUGGUGGUCUAACACAUCAUCAGAGUGACGGUACCGAGAGAAGAAGCCCCGGCUAACUCCGUGCCAGCAGCGGCGGUAAUUC